RNAcentral lists this long non-coding RNA (579 nucleotides) under Ananas comosus (pineapple). Its description in RNAcentral is "long non-coding RNA (ACOM_LNC043495)". The record is from RNAcentral. Lineage: Eukaryota; Viridiplantae; Streptophyta; Magnoliopsida; Poales; Bromeliaceae.
UCAGUGAAAAUCCCACAAUACUCAGCAGGAAGAAACAGACAAUGAAAUUAAUGCAAUUCUUACAAUUACUCAAAAUCAGCUUAUAACAUUCAUUUAUCUCAAUUCACUCUGAUUCGCCUCAAUUUUAUGCCAAUUAACCUCAAUGUCAACUGGAAUAAAGUAAAUAUCGAAAUCUAUACCCCUCUCCUACUAACAGACACCGAUUUCAUUAUUAGAGGCGCAAAUUUCGUGCAAUUGAGCUUCUCUCCAUCUCCUCUGCUGCUGCCCUGCGACUUACAAUUGCAGCUAGCAAUUGUUGCUGCUGCCAAACACUGUGCCAGCAUCUACUAUGCUGACUACUACUACUGGCUAUAGCAGCCAGCAGGAAUUUAGAGAGAGGGAGAGAGAAAAAUAAGGAGUGGGGAGAAAAGGAAAGGAGAAAAAGAAUAAAAAGAAGAGAACUUACUGCGACCUCGUAAUCAAAGCGCUGAAGAAAUUUCUUGUGCGCACGAUCUCGAUCGACUCGUCAAAUCGAUCAAAACCCUUUAAUUUCUUCUUUUUUUUCUUAUUUUCUCCUUCUCUCUCUAGAACCAACAGGUG